This 404-nucleotide ribosomal RNA is filed under the name uncultured eukaryote. RNAcentral's name for it is "SSU rRNA". It matches the Rfam family "Eukaryotic small subunit ribosomal RNA", at positions 570 to 990 of the family's 1831-position model. The record is from RNAcentral.
GCAGCUGCGGUAAUUCCAGCUCCAAUAGCGUAUAUUAAAGUUGUUGCAGUUAAAAAGCUCGUAGUUGAACUUCUGUACAGUCUCACUUCUGGCUUCGGUCAAGGUGUUGGCUGUGCAUCCGCUUGCAAAGCUGGUUCGGCCUUAACUGGUCGGCUAGUAGAGUAAGCCCUUUACUUUGAAAAAAUUAGAGUGUUUCAGGCAGGCAAUGGCUCGAAUACAUUAGCAUGGAAUAAUGGAAUAGGACUUUUGUCCAUUUGGUUGGUUCUUGGACUUAAGUAAUGAUUAAAAGGGACAGUUGGGGGCAUUGGUAUUUAACAGUCAGAGGUGAAAUUCUUGGAUUUGUUAAAGACUAACUUAUGCGAAAGCAUUUGCCAAGGAUGUUUUCAUCAAUCAAGAACGAAAGU